AAUCUACCCUCGAGUGGGGAAUAACCUAGGGAAACCUGGGCUAAUACCGCAUAACACUUACGAGUCAAAGCAGCAAUGCACUUGGGGAGGAGGUCGCGGCAGAUUAGUUAGUUGGCGGGGUAAUGGCCCACCAAGACGAUGAUCUGUAUCCGGCCUGAGAGGGCGCACGGACACACUGGAACUGAAACACGGUCCAGACUCCUACGGGAGGCAGCAGUGGGGAAUUUUGCGCAAUGGGGGAAACCCUGACGCAGCAACGCCGCGUGGAG
This 269-nucleotide ribosomal RNA is filed under the name uncultured bacterium. RNAcentral describes it as "partial 16S ribosomal RNA". It matches the Rfam family "Bacterial small subunit ribosomal RNA", at positions 123 to 406 of the family's 1533-position model. The record is from RNAcentral.